CACCUGUGGAAGGGAAGUUCACUAUGAGUUCGGUGAAUACGCCAGGUUUUAUAGUCGAUUGUUGAACGUAGUAAGCUCAGAGUUAAAUUCACAGGUAGCAUGGAUGCACUUACUGUCUUGCUCAACAGGUAGUCGGUUAAUCAAGUGAAGCAAGGAAAAACAACAACAAAUAGUGCCUUAAUUGUUUUAGAUUCAACAAUCUCAAAAAAUCUUUUCUUUGUUCAUCCUUUAACUCUUAUUCUUGGACACACCCAUGCUUUUUGUACUUAACCAUAGUUUUAAAAAAACCAAUCUCUCUACUAACAAAGAACAAUAAACAGACGCUGUAAGGGUUCAACAGCAAAUUGACCUUGCGCGAAAUACAAUUAAGCUAACACACCUACAAAUAUUUUUACCGGCCAUAAACGAACCCAAUAUUAUAUAUAGAAUGCGAUCUUUGAAUUCGCAAGGUUACGGAUUCUCUGAACUUCUUUACUCUAAUAGAACAUUGCUUGCUUUAUAGCUUUUGGUCUGCCUCUAAACAACGUUUGAGAUGUGUUUUGGUUCGGGUUCAAUCUAAUUCCAUUCUAAUUGUUGAGGAUUUUAAAAAUAAGACCGACAUCAUACUAGGGAAAUAACUAUUGUAUUUAAGUUUAGUAUAACUGUGUUGGGAGGUAUCUCUUGGUAUGCUAAAUAUAUAUUUAAAAACAUUAUUUAAGAAAUUGGAGAAAUUUACAUAUUUAUUUCAAACCGAAGCAGAGCGUUACAAAGUAGCAUAAAUACUAAAAUCUUUAAUUACACAAAAUGGCUUUAGACGGUAAGAAAAUACUACCGUCUACUAUAUAAAUUAUUAAAUUAUUAAUUAUAUAUUAAAUUAUAUCGAAUAUUAUUACAAAUAUACCAAAAUACAUAAAUCACAUUUAAAUCAAAUAGCAAUCAAUUAUACAAUAUAUUUUCUAAAAACAAAAAAAAAAAAUAUUUCAAUAAUUUGACAAGAUCUAUCAUGGCUGUGGCGAACGAAUCACGCAGCCAAUAUGUGCUUGCUACUGCUUCAUUUCUCUUCGAAAUUUCUAUUCAAUUUGCGCGGCUUCCAGAUUUAUUGAGUCGAUUUUUGACUUUCUUUGCGGUAAUCGAACAUUUAAGGGUGAUAGUCAUGCGAACUUCCUUUGAGCUGUAAUAUGUGCGAGUUGUAAUACAAUGUAUGAUAUCCUCAACCUUUUUCGGAUCCAAUUGACCCUUAGGCGGGCGUACACGAUCGUUUUCCAAAAAUGCUGGCGAAGGCUUACCACUAAGUGUAUUUGCGGCCAAGACCUCCUCUGAGAAAACUAAACAAAUCAGGGUGCGCGUGGCCGCGCAUGGAAUCAUAAAUGGAAUUGCUCGGAAUUUUUCGGUGGGUACUUUUGUACCAUUCGGACCAAUCACUGUGUAGCCAUCAUCGUCGCCACUUAGCGAAAUUGGCGCUUGUACAGACGUUGAAGCUCUACUACUGGAAGCUGCAUGAUCUGCGGACUGCGUACUUGUUGAGCUGUUGCUUUGGGCUGCGUUAGCUUCACUAUUCCCCUCACUCAACACGCGCUUACGUGAAUCACCGUUGAUCUUUCCGAUAGACCGUUGAGUGUUUUUUCCUUUAAUUUUCAUCGGUAUUGGCUCUGGCGAGAAGAGGGUAGCGAUAUCGGUUUGCUUACAAUGAAACUCGCGUGUACUAAUCACCCGCAUCAUAUUAUUUUUUAUUUCCAAAUCACUAAUUUCACUGAGCGCUUCCCAUACAUGCAGUUGACCCCACGUUUGCGCCACGGAUUCCCUUUUCCAGUGAAUAGUAAUGUUUUCAAGAGUAGGUAUUUUGGCACCCUGUUUCAACUUCUUCGCAAUCCGUUGCGCUAUUUUAUAUUUGGCUCUAAGCACCUCGUUAGUCGUCUGGCUGAGUUCGCUGAGAUCUAAAUUCUUAAAGUCUUCUAUCCAUUUUUUAACCAAUAGUGCGAGAUCUUCUGUAGUUUUCGCAUUCGAUAUCAUCUUAUUCUCAGCCAUUUGGAGCUGAACCUUUGAAAGAUGUUGUAUAAUAUUUUUUUGAUUCACCACUGCUUAUUAGUCGAUUGCUGAGUGGGGUGAGCUCAGUGUGUAAUUCAGGGGUAGAAUUUGUGCACUUGCGGUCGUGCUAUGCAGAAUGUCGCCUAUUCACCUCACGCGCUGUAAGCACAAGCAAAAUAGUGUAUUAAUUGUUUUGGCACCGACAGCCUUGGAGUGAAAAUUCGAAUUUUUUAGGGUAUUCUUUGAAAUGCCUACGAUGUCUGCCUUAAUCUAUGCGUAUUUUUGAGAUUACCCAAACAUGCUCUUAAGAAAGAACAAUAAUGGAUAUUUUAGUCGUUAGAUGUAUGAGUUUAGGGACUAAAGCGAUUAGACCUUGAGUGUAGUGGUUAAGCCUAUAAUUAUAUGUAGCUUUUUGCAGUCUUUGAAUUCGCAAGUUAAGUGAGUCUAAUAGUUCCAUGGGCCCAACAUUUUAGCUUAGAGCAGACAGUUAGAAUUAGGUACAUAAUAUGACUUCAGGAAAGUUUAAAUAUGCAAGCUUCUCUUGAAAUGCCACGCUCAGUAUAAUGCAACCCGGCUUUCUCUCAACAAUUUGUUCCAGCAAACAAAGAUCCAAAGAUAGUAGCGAAAAUGUUUUAACAAAAUUAUGAAAUUUAGUUAUAGCCACUAGGAGUUAAGUCUCGAAAAUUCCAAAAUUGUUUAAAAAAAAAAUAAAAAAAUUAUUUUUUUGCGCUGUGGAACCAUACAAUUGUUAUGUGCUAUUAAAUGUCAUUAACACAAUCGAAUAAUAUAAAACAUAACCGUGUUUCCCCUUGCCUUAUACCGCUUUCUAGGCACACACAUCCGUUAGAAUGCGCCGCCACAAGCACUUAAGCAUUUAACGUUAUCCCAUUAGACAUACACAUUGCCGUUACAAAACCGUUUAUAGUUUGUAGUAGUGCAUGCAUAUGUUUAACAAGCGUCAAAGCAUACUAACUGUCAGUUUGUUUGUAAGCCAACGUCAUUUGUUGCUGUGUUGCAAAUAAAAAACCCAACACAGUCCAUUAAAAUUUCUUUAGCUGCCACUGUGGAAGCUCUGCUGCGACGCACGACGAAGCCGCUUUCAUUUGAUUUCAUAUAAAACCAUAAACGGAUGGCAUAAAAGAAAUAAAUGUGUGUUCAUAUGUAUGAGUCGGAAUGCCAACACGAUUGCUUUUGUAGCGCGCUCUGUCGGAUAGAUAACCUACACUAUUAUAUAUAUUUAUGUACAAAUAAACGCUAAGUGAGUUCUGGCCGACUUUCGCACUGACAAUAUGUGCUAUAUGUGUAUAUAAUAUAUUUGUAUAUACAUUUAAAAUCCAUCAUGCCGUGGCAUUUAGCUAUUUAUUUGUGUUGUUGUUAUCAUUGCAAUUGCUGGCUUUCAUAUCAUUUCAAUCCAAAACUAAGCCCAACAUAAUGUCGGUUGCCUCGCUGACUUUGCGGUUGCGAGCCGCAGCUUCAACAGUUUGACAUUUAUGAACACAUGCCUCCGUUGUUGGGUGGUGAGAUCUCAUAGACGACCUCAUGCCUCUGGAGUAACGUCCGUGCAGGUGUAUGAGAGAUUUGUUUUCUAUGCUUGCAGAUUUGCUCUGUUAUGUGUACUCUUUUCUACUAAAUAUGAAAAGAGUUUUAUUUUGAAAGCUAUUCUUCUAUAUAAAAAUGCACUUGAAAGAUUUUUGCUUUAAAGCUCAUUUGGAUUUCUAUUAUAGGAAAGGUCUGAUUCUAACGAGUAAAUAUGGAUUUAAACCACGUUCUUGUGAGCUUAGAUCCUUUAUAAUCUAUUAGGGUUCUAAAUUAUAUUUUGAAUAUCAUCGGAUUUAUUUCAAAGCUACCUGCAACGGGUAUGUUUCAUUAGUCAUUUGAAGGCAACAACUAUUUUAUUGAUCCAAUAAAACUGAUCCUAAGUGGAGAGUAUAGCAUAUGUAUGAAAAUUGUUGGAUGACUAAAGUAUAAAAAUACUGCAUGAAAUUUCAAGGAUAAGGUAGCAGAGAAACAAUGGAACAUCUCUUGUGCGCUUGUUCUAUUUUGUCAAGGCAACGGCUCCAGCAUUUGGGAGCCUCACAGAACGAGAACCUGGAAAUCUUUAGUAUAACCAUAUAACUUGUGUAAAGCGCUGGCCUCGACUACUCCUCAUUGACUACGUGAUUGCACUCCAUCUGGUAUCCAAGGAACCAAAAUGAGUCUACGUGUGGCUUAUUGGCCUAGCAGACUAACCUAACCUAAUUAUAAAAAUCGAAAGCGACGAUUUCUAGGAAGAGAUUCCUUUAAAUUUCACAAGCAAAAAUCUACAAGAAAAUUUGUGGAAUGUCAACCGUCUUCAGGACUGUUAAGUGCAAUUUUUACAUAAAACCGUGAGAGUCUCAGAUAGAGAUUAUCGGAAAUGUGAAAGCGUUUCUCCAGCAUUGUAAAAAAUCAUAUUUAUUAGUUUAUUUUAAGGUUAGAAUCAGUUAAUCUUUGAUUGAAAAAAUGUCAACACUUCGGUCCAUUUUUGCUUUCUUAUUUUAAUGACAGCAAUUUCAUAUUUUUAUUAUUUUGGAAUUCUGUUUUAGCCAUGACUGAAUUCAAAAGAUUUUCCUAUGCAAUAACAAAUAUUAAAUUUAAAUGAAUAUUUAUGAAGAAAUCUACUCGUUUAAAGUAGAGUGUUACAAAAGCUCACAUUUUUGCUUAAAAAGAAUGCAUAUGUUGGUAAUUGUUGCGUUAUUUGUACAACAACAAAUGAAAUUUACUGUAACAUUUUUCGAUUCGUUGACCUUUAGUACUUAUUGUUAUUGUUCUUAGCUGUAUUAUUGGUUUUACAGUUUCAGUUGACUAUUUCAUUGUUUUCCAAGCCAUCUUCUACUUGUUAAAAAUUCGAAAUUUAUUUAGAUCAAGCACAUUUCUGUAAUAAUUGAGUUUAUAAUAAAUGUACUUUUUUACAAAUAUU
Zeugodacus cucurbitae (melon fly) is the source of this 4942-nucleotide long non-coding RNA. RefSeq lists it as uncharacterized. The record is from RefSeq and is a predicted model, not a curated record. NCBI's taxonomy places the organism in Eukaryota, Metazoa, Arthropoda, Insecta, Diptera, Tephritidae. The transcript has 2 exons.